GCCUCUUGCGCUCCAGCCCGACUGAAUGCCCAAGGAGCAUCAAGAAGGGGAAGGAAGUAAUAUUCACUAACAGCGUAUGGGGUUCCUGGGAUCAUGCUGAACAUUGCACCCGAUGUCCUUCAGUGACCUUGUCCUGUGUAGGUGGCAUACAGCAGAACGAGGCUAUCUGGACAUAGACACGUACAGAGGGAAGACGAAAUGAAGACAGAGGGAGAAGACAGCCAUCUAUCAAUAAGCCAAGAAGAGAUCUGGAACAGAGCCUUCCCUCACAGCCCUCAGAAGGAAGUAACCUUGCUGACAACUUGAUCUCAGACUUCU
This is a long non-coding RNA of Dama dama (fallow deer), 318 nucleotides long. RefSeq lists it as uncharacterized. The record is from RefSeq and is a predicted model, not a curated record. Lineage: Eukaryota; Metazoa; Chordata; Mammalia; Artiodactyla; Cervidae. The transcript has 3 exons.